This 301-nucleotide ribosomal RNA is filed under the name uncultured bacterium. Its description in RNAcentral is "partial 16S ribosomal RNA". It matches the Rfam family "Bacterial small subunit ribosomal RNA", at positions 509 to 807 of the family's 1533-position model. The record is from RNAcentral.
CAGUCGCCGCGGUAAAACAGAGGGUGCAAGCGUUAAUCGGAAUUACUGGGCGUAAAGCGCGCGUAGGUGGUUUGUUAAGUUGGAUGUGAAAGCCCCGGGCUCAACCUGGGAACUGCAUCCAAAACUGGCAAGCUAGAGUACGGUAGAGGGUGGUGGAAUUUCCUGUGUAGCGGUGAAAUGCGUAGAUAUAGGAAGGAACACCAGUGGCGAAGGCGACCACCUGGACUGAUACUGACACUGAGGUGCGAAAGCGUGGGGAGCAAACAGGAUUAGAUACCCCCGUAGUCCCUGUCUCUUAUAC